RNAcentral lists this ribosomal RNA (448 nucleotides) under uncultured prokaryote. RNAcentral describes it as "bacterial SSU rRNA". It matches the Rfam family "Bacterial small subunit ribosomal RNA", at positions 355 to 796 of the family's 1533-position model. The record is from RNAcentral.
UCGAGAAUCUUUCACAAUGGGGGAAACCCUGAUGGAGCGACGCCGCGUGGAGGAUGACGGCCUUCGGGUUGUAAACUCCUGUCAUGCGGGAGCAAGGUGCGCGUGUUUACUGCACGCGUAUUGAUAGUACCGCAAGAGGAAGAGACGGCUAACUCUGUGCCAGCAGCCGCGGUAAUACAGAGGUCUCAAGCGUUGUUCGGAUUCAUUGGGCGUAAAGGGUGCGUAGGCGGCGCCGUAAGUCAGAUGUGAAAUCUCCGGGCUCAACCCGGAAACUGCAUCCGAUACUGCGGUGCUCGAGGACUGGAGAGGAGACUGGAAUUCACGGUGUAGCAGUGAAAUGCGUAGAUAUCGUGAGGAAGACCGGUGGCGAAGGCGGGUCUCUGGACAGUUCCUGACGCUGAGGCACGAAGGCCAGGGGAGCGAACGGGAUUAGAUACCCCCGUAGUCC